CUACGGGGCGCAGCAGUGGGGAAUAUUGCACAAUGGGCGCAAGCCUGAUGCAGCCAUGCCGCGUGUAUGAAGAAGGCCUUCGGGUUGUAAAGUACUUUCAGCGGGGAGGAAGGGAGUAAAGUUAAUACCUUUGCUCAUUGACGUUACCCGCAGAAGAAGCACCGGCUAACGCGCGUGCCAGCAGCCGCGGUAAUACGGAGGGUGCAAGCGUUAAUCGGAAUUACUGGGCGUAAAGCGCACGCAGGCGGUUUGUUAAGUCAGAUGUGAAAUCCCCGGGCUCAACCUGGGAACUGCAUCUGAUACUGGCAAGCUUGAGUCUCGUAGAGGGGGGUAGAAUUCCAGGUGUAGCGGUGAAAUGCGUAGAGAUCUGGAGGAAUACCGGUGGCGAAGGCGGCCCCCUGGACGAAGACUGACGCUCAGGUGCGAAAGCGUGGGGAGCAAACAGGAUUAGAUACCCGCGUAGUC
This 465-nucleotide ribosomal RNA is filed under the name uncultured bacterium. RNAcentral describes it as "partial 16S ribosomal RNA". It matches the Rfam family "Bacterial small subunit ribosomal RNA", at positions 339 to 795 of the family's 1533-position model. The record is from RNAcentral.